CCUACGGGAGGCAGCAGUGGGGAAUAUUGCGCAAUGGCCGAAAGCCUGACGCAGCGACGCCGCGUGAGGGAUGAAGGUCUUUGGAUCGUAAACCUCUGUCAGCAGGGAAGAAAGGUCACUGUGCUAAUCAUCAGUGAAUUGACGGUACCUGCAAAGGAAGCACCGGCUAACUCCGUGCCAGCAGCCGCGGUAAUACGGAGGGUGCGAGCGUUAAUCGGAAUUACUGGGCGUAAAGGGCUCGUAGGCGGUAUGUCAAGUCAAUGGUGAAAGCCCCGAGCUCAACGGGGGAAUUGCCGUUGAAACUGGCAGACUUGAGUGCAGUAGAGGAGAGGGGAAUUCCAGGUGUAGGGGUGACAUGCGUAGAUAUCUGGAAGAACAGCAGUGGCGAAGGCGACUCACUGG
RNAcentral lists this ribosomal RNA (402 nucleotides) under uncultured bacterium. Its description in RNAcentral is "partial 16S ribosomal RNA". It matches the Rfam family "Bacterial small subunit ribosomal RNA", at positions 338 to 732 of the family's 1533-position model. The record is from RNAcentral.